This 252-nucleotide ribosomal RNA is filed under the name uncultured bacterium. RNAcentral's name for it is "partial 16S ribosomal RNA". It matches the Rfam family "Bacterial small subunit ribosomal RNA", at positions 793 to 1055 of the family's 1533-position model. The record is from RNAcentral.
GUCCACACGGUAACGAUGGAUACUCGCUGUUGGCGAUAUACUGUCAGCGGCCAAGCGAAGCAUUAAGUAUCCCACCUGGGAGUACGCCGGCAACGGUGAACUCAAAGGAAUUGACGGGGCCCGCACAAGCGGAGGAACAUGUGGUUUAAUUCGAUGAUACGCGAGGAACCUUACCCGGGCUUAAAUUGCAGACGAAUUACGAGGAAACUUGUAAGCCGCAAGGCGUCUGUGAAGGUGCUGCAUGGUUGUCGU